Molecule: long non-coding RNA, 269 nt
Filed under: Manihot esculenta (cassava)
Lineage: Eukaryota; Viridiplantae; Streptophyta; Magnoliopsida; Malpighiales; Euphorbiaceae
Description: long non-coding RNA (MESC_LNC003564)
Source: RNAcentral
AAAAUAAGAAUAAAACUAAAUUCCGAAAAAUCUGAAAUAGAGAGUAUAUUUCUUAACCAACCAAACUAAACGAACUAGCAUCCGUUAAAAAAGGAAAAUGACACUUUGAUUUCGUCCACUAUUGAGUCCUGUCUUGUUGACUAAAUCCAAAUUAUGCAAGUAUAAUUUAUUGAGAAAUAUUCAACAACAUGCUAUAAAAUUAUGUAAGAGCCACUUGGAGUUGUACUUAGGGAUGAUGGGAAGACUGAAUCUUAGAAAAGGUGCAGGAG